Molecule: long non-coding RNA, 205 nt
Organism: Haliotis rubra (blacklip abalone)
Lineage: Eukaryota; Metazoa; Mollusca; Gastropoda; Lepetellida; Haliotidae
Exons: 3
Source: RefSeq, a predicted model, not a curated record
AGGACCAAAAAAGCAAUCUGUAGAAGGGGUUCGACUUAUCUACAGGUUACGCUUUCGUCAAACCUUUCUUCUGGUGGUAAGAGACAUCGUAUCAGGUCAAGUGAACGAACAAAAGAAGAGGACUUUGUCAGUAAAGGCGUCAAAUUUGCAAUUAAACAUCACUAGACAAGAUUAUUUAUCUUUUUAGUUCCAAUUUGUUUCUGCU